This 484-nucleotide ribosomal RNA is filed under the name uncultured bacterium. Its description in RNAcentral is "bacterial SSU rRNA". It matches the Rfam family "Bacterial small subunit ribosomal RNA", at positions 30 to 507 of the family's 1533-position model. The record is from RNAcentral.
UGAACGCUAGCGGCAGGCUUAAUACAUGCAAGUCGUGGGGCAGCAUGAAGUAGCAAUACUUUGAUGGCGACCGGCAAACGGGUGCGGAACACGUACACAACCUUCCUUUUAGUGGGGAAUAGCCCAGAGAAAUUUGGAUUAAUACCCCGUAACAUAGCGAUGUGGCAUCACAUUGCUAUUAUAGCUUCGGCGCUAGAUGAUGGGUGUGCGUAUGAUUAGAUAGUUGGCGAGGUAACGGCUCACCAAGUCUACGAUCAUUAGCUGAUGUGAGAGCAUGAUCAGCCACACGGGCACUGAGACACGGGCCCGACUCCUACGGGAGGCAGCAGUAAGGAAUAUUGGUCAAUGGACGAAAGUCUGAACCAGCCAUGCCGCGUGAAGGAUUAAGGUCCUCUGGAUUGUAAACUUCUUUUAUAUGGGACGAAAAAAGGUCUUUCUAGAUCACUUGACGGUACCAUAUGAAUAAGCACCGGCUAACUCCGUG